This 484-nucleotide ribosomal RNA is filed under the name uncultured bacterium. RNAcentral's name for it is "partial 16S ribosomal RNA". It matches the Rfam family "Bacterial small subunit ribosomal RNA", at positions 30 to 507 of the family's 1533-position model. The record is from RNAcentral.
AUUGAACGCUGGCGGCAGGCCUAACACAUGCAAGUCGAGCGGAUAAAGGGAGCUUGCUCCUGGAUUCAGCGGCGGACGGGUGAGUAAUGCCUAGGAAGCUGCCUGGUAGUGGGGGAUAACGUCCGGAAACGGGCGCUGAUACCGCAUACGUCCUGAUGGAGAAAGUGGGGGAUCUUCGGACCUCACGGUAUCAGAUGAGCCUAGGUCGGAUUAGCUAGUUGGUGGGGUAAAGGCCUACCAAGGCGACGAUCCGUAACUGGUCUGAGAGGAUGAUCAGCCACACUGGAACUGAGACACGGUCCAGACUCCUACGGGAGGCAGCAGUGGGGAAUAUUGGACAAUGGGCGAAAGCCUGAUCCAGCCAUGCCGCGUGUGUGAAGAAGGUCUUCGGAUCGUAAAGCACUUUAAGUUGGGAGGAAGGGAAGUAAGUUAAUCCCUUGCUGUUUUGACGUUACCAACAGAAUAAGCACCGGCUAACUUCGUG